RNAcentral lists this ribosomal RNA (337 nucleotides) under uncultured bacterium. RNAcentral describes it as "SSU rRNA". It matches the Rfam family "Bacterial small subunit ribosomal RNA", at positions 26 to 376 of the family's 1533-position model. The record is from RNAcentral.
AGGAUGAACGCUGGCGGCGUGCCUAAUACAUGCAAGUCGAGCGGCAGCGCAGGGUGCUUGCACCCUGGCGGCGAGCGGCGGACGGCUGAGUAACGCGUAGGAACGUACCCUAAAGUGAGGAAUAACUGCCCGAAAGGGUGGCUAAUGCCGCAUGUGCUCUUCGGAGUAAAGCUUCGGCGCUUUGGGAACGGCCUGCGUCCGAUUAGCUAGUUGGUAAGGUAAUGGCUUACCAAGGCUACGAUCGGUAGCUGGUCUGAGAGGAUGACCAGCCAGACUGGGACUGAGAACGGCCCAGACUCCUACGGGAGGCAGCAGUAGGGAAUUUUCCACAAUGGGC